RNAcentral lists this ribosomal RNA (513 nucleotides) under uncultured bacterium. Its description in RNAcentral is "partial 16S ribosomal RNA". It matches the Rfam family "Bacterial small subunit ribosomal RNA", at positions 28 to 523 of the family's 1533-position model. The record is from RNAcentral.
GGCGAACGCUGGCGGCGUGCCUAAUACAUGCAAGUUGAGCGCUGAAGGUUGGUACUUGUACCGACUGGAUGAGCAGCGAACGGGUGAGUAACGCGUGGGGAAUCUGCCCUUGAGCGGAGGACAACACUUGGAAACGAAUGCUAAUACCGCAUAAACACCUUAAACACAAGUUUUAAGUUUGAAAGACGCAAUUGCAUCACUCACAGAUUAUCCCGCGUUGUAUUAGCUAGUUGGUGAGGUAAAGGCCCACCAAGGCGAUGAUACAUAGCCGACCUGAGAGGGUGAUCGGCCACAUUGGGACUGAGACACGGCCCAAACGCCUACGGGAGGCAGCAGUAGGGAAUCUUCGGCAAUGGACGAAAGUCUGACCGAGCAACGCCCCGUGAGUGAAGAAGGUUUUCGGAUCGUAAAACUCUGUUGGUAGAGAAGAACGUUGGUGAGAGUGGAAAGCUCAUCAAGUGACGGUAACUACCCAGAAAGGGACGGCUAACUACGUGCCAGCAGCCGCGGUAA